GUGUCCCUGCUCCCCAGUGCUCAGCUGUGGCAGGGGGCCUCAGGCAGGACAUACAGUAUCUGCCUCUCAGUUUAGGAGGGCUGUCCUAAGCACUGGACUGGCUCUUAAAGGCACGAGAGGACAUU
Molecule: small nucleolar RNA, 125 nt
Filed under: Echinops telfairi (small Madagascar hedgehog)
Lineage: Eukaryota; Metazoa; Chordata; Mammalia; Afrosoricida; Tenrecidae
Description: Small Cajal body specific RNA 11 (ENSETEG00000025134.1)
Rfam family: Small Cajal body specific RNA 11
About the family: scaRNAs are a specific class of small nuclear RNAs which localise to the Cajal bodies and guide the modification of RNA polymerase II transcribed spliceosomal RNAs U1, U2, U4, U5 and U12. ACA57 belongs to the H/ACA box class of guide RNAs as it has the predicted hairpin-hinge-hairpin-tail structure, conserved H/ACA-box motifs and is found associated with GAR1. ACA57 is predicted to guide the pseudouridylation of the U5 spliceosomal RNA at position U43.
Source: RNAcentral